This 379-nucleotide ribosomal RNA is filed under the name uncultured eukaryote. RNAcentral describes it as "partial 18S ribosomal RNA". It matches the Rfam family "Eukaryotic small subunit ribosomal RNA", at positions 592 to 975 of the family's 1831-position model. The record is from RNAcentral.
CAAUAGCGUAUAUUAAAGUUGUUGCGGUUAAAAAGCUCGUAGUUGGAUUUCUGCUGAGAACGACCGGUCCGCCCUCUGGGUGUGUAUCUGGCUCUUUCUUGGCAUCUUCUUGGUGAACGUUGCUGCACUUGACUGUGUGGAGCGCUACCCAGGACUUUUACUUUGAGGAAAUUAGAGUGUUUCAAGCAGGCAUACGCCUUGAAUACAUUAGCAUGGAAUAAUAAGAUAGGACCUCGGUUCUAUUUUGUUGGUUUCUAGAGCUGAGGUAAUGAUUAAUAGGGAUAGUUGGGGGCAUUCGUAUUUAACUGUCAGAGGUGAAAUUCUUGGAUUUAUGAAAGACGAACUUCUGCGAAAGCAUUUGCCAAGGAUGUUUUCAUUA